AUAUGGGUGAUGUCCUUCAGCAUGCAAGGCUAUUCGACUUGAGAAUUAGCCCAGAGUUGGCCCAUUCACUCAAGUUGGUUCUACUCCAACACUCAGGGUGUUACAAUCCAUUAGUGACCACUGGGUUGGAGCAAUGUCCGUUAAAUGUCUUGCAUAGUGACACACACUAAGCAUUAAACUCAGUGGCACGAAAGUUCUCCGGUACAUAGCAGAAUAAGCUAGUGGAAAGUGUUAGAGGUUGUGGGUUAGUGGUUAGGGGUUAGUGCUGGUAAGCAAAUAAGGUGGAGGGAGGAUUCGUUACUUGCCCUCAACUUAGUAUACUAUAGUUAACAUACAAAAUAAAUAGAAAACUUUCACAAACUAAACAAA
Non-coding RNA from Ciona intestinalis (vase tunicate), 369 nucleotides. Lineage: Eukaryota; Metazoa; Chordata; Ascidiacea; Phlebobranchia; Cionidae. The record is from RefSeq and is a predicted model, not a curated record.